Ostrinia nubilalis (European corn borer) is the source of this 1823-nucleotide long non-coding RNA. RefSeq lists it as uncharacterized. Lineage: Eukaryota; Metazoa; Arthropoda; Insecta; Lepidoptera; Crambidae. The record is from RefSeq and is a predicted model, not a curated record. The transcript has 6 exons.
ACUAGUCCAUGUGCACAAAAGUUCGAUCGAUCAUAUGUUUUCUUUGUGUAGUUUUUUCAGCCGCUGUAAUUCGAAUUGGUUAUAAAUUUCGUGUAUUAAAUUCGACGUUUAUAUCUACUUUCAUUGUUUCUAGGAGAAAUGUGCUGAUUAGUACUUUCAAUUCCUUCGGAAGGUAAAAUUUGUAGAGUGCAUGUAAGUGCAUUUCUAUGUGCACGUGCUUGCAAUUUUCAGGCUAAUACCUCCUAGUUUCAGUAGAGAAUCAGGCUUUAAAGUAAUUCAAAUGGUAGAAUAACUCAUCUAGUGUUCGUAAUAACAGUUUUAAGUCGCAAACAAGUGAUUUCGCCGAAAAACGUGCUGUGAAAAGAAUCGGAUUGAAGUGGAAUAGUUUGUUACGUUGGUUAUUUAUUAGGACAGGUUAUCACGAUGGAUUCUUUCUCGAUGUUCUCCUGGAUUAGUGCCUCAUUGGAUGAAGUGUCUGUGAUAAUUUUGCCAAUGAUGCAAUCUCACAAGUGCAUUUGUGAAAUCUGUGUUACUGAUAAUAAAUAUUAUGUGCAAUACUAUGGCUCAAAAAGUGAUAAUACAAUAAAAACGUGAAAAAAGUUAAGUGAUGUCGACAGUUUUACAUGGUAAAUAGUGUUUUGAAAAUGUGCGCAUUGGAUGCAGUGUUCUUCGCUAGAUGGCGUCGUUGGAAUCGUUGCUAGCAAGUGAGGAGCUAGUUCCGCUACUCGCCGCUAGGUGGCAUUGAUGGGUCACCAGCCGAUAACCAGCGAUAGUAUCGCGCAGUCUAUAAAUAACCAUACAGCUGUAAAAUACCCCACCUGAGCAACAGUAUGAAACCACUUGCUGCAAUGAUCCAGCGUGACCCGUCUGAUGCAGAUCGCUAUCUUCGCUCGACUUAGUCCACCAUUUUAGAUUAGGCUCUUUGUGUUAUAAUCAUAUUAGAAUGUUCCGUAAAUUAAUCUUUUCAUCUGUUGAACAAUGCGGAAUGUGCAGUUACCACUCAUCAUCGAAGUUUCUUCAUUCAAUGCCUCCCAUCUCUGUGAAUCGUGAUAGUGUUCUACUGCACUCUCUCUUGUUCUCGCUACUCAAAAGUGAUUUGUAACAUGGGCAGUCCAAUCGUCACAGAUAUGUUUUAUGUGAAACCAACAAAGUAUUGAUAAGGUCCCGGAGGGAAUCGCAAAAAUGCUCUUUAGUUUAUAAGCGUGACAGUGCACAUUGUGAUCCUCGUAACGUUUUUCCGUUUUCCUUCGCGAUCCUGACAUGUUCGCGCGUUAUUGUUUUAUUUUAAUUUAUUAUUAUUUUAUGAAUUUUUAAAUUGUAUACUUUGUUACGUUAAGAGUUUUGAAUUAUAUUGACUAACACAUACUAAACAAUUCUAACGCAUGACUUUUAUUUUACAAAAUCAACUCGCGAGUGUGCAUGACGUUAAAGUUUUUAAUAUUUUUAAUGUUUUAUAAUAUGUUAAGAUAGACAACCUGCUACUCUGACAUGCGUAUCUUAAAACAAAUGUGAUAUUGAUUUUGAAAUGUUUACUUCAACAAUUUGUACAUAAUGUAAUCGGAAUAAUUCAAUGAUGAGAUCGAUCAUAUAAUUGUCGUACGCCUUGCUCCAUAAAACUUGAUUUUAGGUUACAAUCGAAUCAUUACUUAAAUUCGAGUUUUAGUUCUUGCAUGGCAAUACCCGGGGAUUGCAUUCUAGUUUUUUGUAAGAUGAAAAAUUUGAUUAUGCAAUCUGUUUAAUUUAUAAAAUGUUAAUUAUGAAUUAGUUGAGAAUUGUUUUAUAAUUAUUGAUUUAGAAUCGUUCAAUAAACAUUUCGGCAUGAA